This is a long non-coding RNA of Oxyura jamaicensis (ruddy duck), 2788 nucleotides long. RefSeq lists it as uncharacterized. NCBI's taxonomy places the organism in Eukaryota, Metazoa, Chordata, Aves, Anseriformes, Anatidae. The record is from RefSeq and is a predicted model, not a curated record. The transcript has 2 exons.
CAAACACCAUAGCCCCAGACACCUCAGCCAUGUAUGCACAGCCCCAAACACCAAAGCUACACACACACAGCCCCAAAACACCUCAACCCCAAACACCCCAGCUGGCCUCCAGCCAGGGCACCUCCUGGCAGCCUGCCCAGCUCCUCUCCCCCAUGUCACCAUCAGUUUUCCAGCAGUAGGUGACACCGGGGGAAGCCUAGGGCUGCUUUUGUGCAUGCUUCAAGACAAGGCUGUCCUUCUGGUGUCACCUUGCCCAUGGUAACUGUAGGCCCCUAGAUGGUAACUCCUGCCCUACAUCUAGGAUUUGCAGUCUUAGCCAACAAAGGCUGGGAUGCUCCUGACUUCUUUGGGGUCCCAUUUUAGGUCUUCCUGAAAUCCUAGGACACCUGGGCUUGUUACUUGUCCUCCCUCCCUAACAUCAUCUCUGUCUUGGUCCUGACUACAUGUUGUUUGAGGGCUUUGGGUACCCUUCUUUUAGUGUGCAAUGGGAACCCGGUUCCUUGAAAAUGGAUCAAAUCUGCAUGCUGGGAAGUCAGUCUCUGAGACGGAAGCCCUCUGAAAGGAGGACCUCAGGCUGAGCAGCCAAAACAGGUCACAUAUCCCUUCGUGAAACCAUUGGACACAGUGAGGAGUGAGGGAUUCAUUUUGUUAAUUCAGCAAAUGAAAUUUUCAUCCUCCAGGGCAAAGCCUGGAUCGCAUCACCUGAGCAUUACCAAAAUCAUUACAAGCGCCACACAGAGCGGGAAGGUCUCACCUGAUGAAAGACGCUUGUGCUAACAGCAACAGGGGGAAGGAGAAAAGAGGAAAUAUCUGGUUUCGAUCAACUCCUUCUUAAAAAUAGAAAUCUGAUUACCAUUGCCCAUUUCUGAUUCCCCAAGGGAGAGCAGGAGAAGAAGAAGGAUCUAUAAAUAGUUUGCAACACAGAGAAUCCUAUAGCAAAGUCGCUGGGAAAGAUCAAUAGCAUGAUUCAAGGAGGGCUCCAAAUUACAUCUCAGGGGAUGGAGGUGCUGAAUGGAAUUGAUAAAUGAGUUGCAAAUGCUGUGUGUGUUGUGUGUAUCUAAUUAACGGAGGGCGACUGGGAUCAAUAGCGACGAAGGAGCUGGUCUAAAAAUAGCACUCAUGAAGGGAUUGCAACCUGCGGGCAACAGCUUGGAUGGAAAUGUCCCCCAGAGUAAUUAACCUUUAGCUGGGAAAUGGUGACUAACGGGGGUUGAGGUGGAGCCUGUGGGCAGCUGGGAAGGGAUGAGGUCUCCAUGAGGCUUUGGGUCACAGAACAGCAUGACAGUCAUGGAGGGUACAGGCAUAGCCACAGGGUUGCAGCCUUCCUCCUCUCGGGCUGCAGGGUCAAGCUGCAGAUUGGCGUAGUGCGUAGUGGAGAAAUAUCCGAGUAUUAGCAUUUUGUUGGGGUUGUGGAGCAGGAAAUAUUUGUAGCACUGUGUACGUGCAAACAUUUCAGCAUUGCUUAGAGAGAAGUCACAGUCACAUCUAUUUACAUCGACGACAGUUUAGGAUUUUCUCCUUGUUUUCUGACCUUGUUGCUGAGAAAAUAUCCAACCUCUCUGAGGACCAGCCCCCGGCGCUGCUCAUCUGGCCUCCCCAGCAAAACUCCGCAUUUGAACCAUGGUGCAAAUACCAUCCAAAGUGUCCCUCAAGCAUUCCGUCUGCAGCGGAGCAGUCAGGCAAACUUCAGGGAGAAGGACUGACGUUGGACAGGAUGAUCGAUGGCUCAGCUCGCAGGCUCUGCUGGAGUGCCAAGCGGAGCUGGCAUCAUCCGAGUUAGAGGCAGACACAUACACCCUGGAACAGAAAGUUCACUGUCAGCCUGAGUGCAGGAUUGGGACCCAGGGGUGUGCAGCAUGGCAGAAAGAAAAGGAAGCCGUAAAGAUGAAGAAUCUAGAAAAUAUCUCUUGGCAAAGCUGGCAUGGAAAGGAUUAGAGGGAUGAGCAAAGAGCUUUUCUCUCUUUAAUAUAAAUGGAGGUGGCUAAAAAAUCCGAGCCAAAAUUUUUCUUUGUAAGGAAAAAAAAAAUCUUUGUGGAAAAGUGCCUCACUGGGGACAUGGACAGUUGUAACACAGCUGCUGAAGGAGCAAGCCCGGAUUAUUCACCAAAAGGAUGCCUAACUCAAAGUGUCAACAAGUAUCUUAGCUCCUCUCAGACUAGUCUGAUUUGUGGGAGAGCAAACUGGUUGGAAGACAGCCCUGAGCUACAAAAUGGUUGCACUGGCUGCUGUGAGCUCUGCUAAACCAGUGUUACACCUACUCCCUUGAGAAGAAGCUAGCGGGUGUGAGAAGUCUCCCACCUUCAAGAGCUCGUGCAUGGCGGAAAGGGUGAGUUUGCUUCUCAGUACACAAGCCAAAGGUCUCUUCCAGAACUGCUGUGAAGGAUUUGGAAGAUGUUUCACUCAAACACAGAAUUUAUAUAUAGGAACAAAGCUUUCGUUAAACAUGAGCAGCUAAGGGGACGGCAUCACGCACUGACAAUAAUGUAUGCCAGUCUUGUAGGCACACUGUAAGAGAAACAGGCUGCCUCGGAGAAAUUAAUACGGCAAAGGUGUUGAUUAUUGAUCAUUUGUUGCAGAAUUGACUCCAUUUUCUGAGCCAAUGUGACUUCCAGAGCUAUUUGUAGCUUCCUGAACACUCGCAGUGUGACUGGCACUUUUGCAUUUGCUGCAGCUGACGCCUCAAUAUAGUAUUUGAUGCAUACUUUAGAUGACUGCCUUGCAUACUGAAACUGCUGCUGAACAAGAACAAGUCUUUGAGGACAGCCCUGGAAAACUAGAAAAAAAAAAA